Molecule: ribosomal RNA, 327 nt
Filed under: uncultured bacterium
Lineage: Bacteria
Description: bacterial SSU rRNA
Rfam family: Bacterial small subunit ribosomal RNA
Source: RNAcentral
AUUGAACGCUGGCGGCAUGCCUUACACAUGCAAGUCGAACGGCAGCACGGGAGCAAUCCUGGUGGCGAGUGGCGAACGGGUGAGUAAUAUAUCGGAACGUGCCCGGUCGUGGGGAUAACGUAGCGAAAGCUACGCUAAUACCGCAUACGAUCUACGGAUGAAAGCGGGGGAUCGCAAGACCUCGCGCGAUUGGAGCGGCCGAUAUCAGAUUAGGUAGUUGGUGAGGUAAAGGCUCACCAAGCCGACGAUCUGUAGCUGGUCUGAGAGGACGACCAGCCACACGUGGGACUGAGACACGGCCAGACUCCGUACGGGAGGCAGCAGGUA